RNAcentral lists this ribosomal RNA (429 nucleotides) under Gemmatimonadota bacterium. RNAcentral describes it as "Gemmatimonadetes bacterium partial 16S ribosomal RNA". It matches the Rfam family "Bacterial small subunit ribosomal RNA", at positions 355 to 776 of the family's 1533-position model. Lineage: Bacteria; Pseudomonadati; Gemmatimonadota. The record is from RNAcentral.
UAGGGAAUCUUCGGCAAUGGACGAAAGUCUGACCGAGCAACGCCGCGUGAGUGAAGAAGGUUUUCGGAUCGUAAAACUCUGUUGUUAGAGAAGAACAAGGACGUUAGUAACUGAACGUCCCCUGACGGUAUCUAACCAGAAAGCCACGGCUAACUACGUGCCAGCAGCCGCGGUAAUACGUAGGUGGCAAGCGUUGUCCGGAUUUAUUGGGCGUAAAGCGAGCGCAGGCGGUUUCUUAAGUCUGAUGUGAAAGCCCCCGGCUCAACCGGGGAGGGUGAUUGGAAACUGGGAGACUUGAGUGCAGAAGAGGAGAGUGGAAUUCCAUGUGGAGCGGUGAAAUGCGUAGAUAUAUGGAGGAACACCAGUGGCGAAGGCGGCUCUCUGGUCUGUAACUGACGCUGAGGCUCGAAAGCGUGGGGAGCAAACAGG